Molecule: ribosomal RNA, 265 nt
Filed under: uncultured archaeon
Lineage: Archaea
Description: partial 16S ribosomal RNA
Rfam family: Archaeal small subunit ribosomal RNA
Source: RNAcentral
ACACGACUACAUUAGAUACCCCUGUAGUCCUAGCCGUAAACGAUACUCGCUAGGUGUCGGCCACGGUGCGACCGUUGUCGGUGCCGUAGGGAAGCCGUGAAGCGAGCCACCUGGGAAGUACGGCCGCAAGGCUGAAACUUAAAGGAAUUGGCGGGGGAGCACCACAACGGGUGGAGCUUGCGGUUUAAUUGGAUUCAACGCCGGAGAUCUUACCGGGACCGACAGCAACAUGAAGGCCAGGCUGAAGACUUUGCCGGAUUAGCUG